GUGCCAGCAGCCGCGGUAAUACCGGCAGCCCGAGUGAUGGCCGAUCUUAUUGGGCCUAAAGCGUCCGUAGCUGGCCGCGCAAGUCCGUUGGGAAAUCCACCUGCCCAACAGGUGGGCGUCCGGCGGAAACUGUGUGGCUUGGAACCGGAAGGCUCAGAGGGUACGUCCGGGGUAGGAGUGAAAUCCCGUAAUCCCGGACGGACCACCGAUGGCGAAAGCACUCUGAGAAGACGGCUGCGACAGUGAGGGACGAAAGCCAGGGUCUCCAACCGGAUUAGAUACCCGGGUAGUCC
Molecule: ribosomal RNA, 293 nt
Filed under: uncultured bacterium
Lineage: Bacteria
Description: partial 16S ribosomal RNA
Rfam family: Archaeal small subunit ribosomal RNA
Source: RNAcentral